RNAcentral lists this long non-coding RNA (4871 nucleotides) under Brassica napus (rape). RNAcentral's name for it is "long non-coding RNA (BNAP_LNC017428)". Lineage: Eukaryota; Viridiplantae; Streptophyta; Magnoliopsida; Brassicales; Brassicaceae. The record is from RNAcentral.
ACAGAGAGUUGAAGCUGGAGAUCUCGAGGGUGAGAGUGAGACUGAGCGAGUUAGAGAAGGAGCAGGUUUUGAUGAAACAAGGGAUGAUUGAGAAGUCAGGUCAUGGUGGAACAUUGAUGACCUCACUUUCCAAAGGGAUUGGGAGGAUGUCUAUAUUUGGUGGUGGAGCUAAAGAAGAGAAACGACGUAAGGCUAACCGCAAAAACAGGCCAAGGUUGAAGGGCAAAACCGGUAUUAACCGAACAGAGUCUAUGUUUUAAAAAGGUGGCUAGGGAACACUUAAUAAUAUCAUGUAUUCUUAACAAAGUCUAUGGCUACUUCUGAGUGUAUAUCUCGUGAUCAGAACUUGGAAUGUGAUUUAUCAAAUAAUAUUAUAGAACAAAAAUUGACAUUAAAAUGUUAUUAUUAGAAGAAGUUUAUUCUCUUUGUCAUGAAGAAAAGGAUGAGAGACAAGUGAUGAUCAUGUCGCUUAUUAUGGGCUUAAGCAAGAGAGUGGGCUUAGGUUGGCGAGAUCAUGCUCUUGAGGUUUCAGGAGCUCCAACGAGGCGUGUUCGGAUCUGUGGAGAUGAAAAUAAAACUGAUUAAUUUGAGAGGUUGUGAGCAUGAUGAGAAAAAAAGAAGAAUAUUCCAAACCUGGGGAAGCUUCUGUCUGAAGGCGACGUCUAGGCGUGCGUCUAAAGUAUUCUCGCAGACAAUCUUUCCAUCUUGAGAUGCCAGCACCACCCCGCCCGAGCUUCACCAUCAAGACACCCUCAUUGCUCAUGUGGAUGAUAUUACGUGACAAGCGAGAAAGACAGAUUGAAACGAUGGAAGAAGUUUACCAGUGAGGGUCAUGUGAAUCAGGUUGCUUAGGAUUAGGAGGUGGAGGGAGGAACACUUUCUCGUCGAUGGUUAUCUUAGGAGACGCGACUUUCGCUUUAUCUGCAUACUGUUUCUUAGCAUCCUCGAUGAUUGACUCAACAACCUUCUUGUCCAUCUCUCUGCAUCUCAGCAGCACUGAUGGCUCUUUCAGCCGCAGCAAACUCUUACGUACAUACACCACAGUGAUAACUGUUAAGGACUUGUUGACAAGGAUAAUAAGUAUAUAUAGAAAGAUAAAUCAAUACCUCAACGAUGAGAGCCUUGAGAAGCUUUUUGUACGCGUUCUUGUCGUUGGAGACACGAAGAAGGUCCUUAGCCGCAGAGUCUUUCAUGGAGGUGACAACGUCAUCUUGUGCUUGAAGGUACUUAAUCCUACUAGCAUUCAGCUGCGUCGAGUAGUCGCUAAAGAGAGAAAUGGAAUUAGUCUGAAGCCUGAGAGCAAGAAGAUGAAAGUGAUAUAAACAAAGAAGAAGCUUACAUGCGCUUGCGGAUAUCGACCUGCUUGAGCUUGCGAUCAUAAUCUUGACGGAGCUUACGCUUGGCAGUCUCGAGAAGCUGAAGUCUCUCUAUGUUGAAUUCCUCCUCAGCGGAGAUUGAGAUCUCGUUAGCUUUCUCUUCCGCCUCUUGCCGGAUGAACCGGACCAUCUGUUGUAUCUGCUUUGACACAUCUGCGUCGUUCAUAUCUCUCUCUCUCACACACAAACAAAAACAAUCACAAACUUCCUUCUCAAACUCUAUUUUAUAACUCUUGCGAGAGGAGCUAGACCCCACUUUUUGGUGCCAAAACUUCGUUUUCAUGGACCAUUGACUCUUUCUUUAUAUCAAAUCACUACUAUUUUUGGAAUCACAGAUUGUGAAGAAGUAGUCUUGUUUAGAAAAAAACAUGAAUAAGGUCGACAAAACCCAAUAACAUAUUAUUAAUUUGGUUAUGUAAUGUAAGAUAUAAGAUUAUAUCUAAGUUUUUAUGCCAGAAAUUAAAAGCUUGUCUUCCCUCACUUAUUUCGGAAAUCACUUAUUUCGAAAAUACAAUCGGUUUUUGUGUUUGGAAGAUUGAUCUCUGACAAUAUCCUCAUAGCUCAGGAGAUGUUUCAUUGUUUGAGGACUAAUAAAUCAUGUCAGGAUAAAUUUAUGGCCAUGAAAACGGAUAUGAAUAAAACUUAUUAUAAAGUUGAAUGGAUUUUUAUAGAAGAGCUACUGUCCAAGAUGGGGUUUGAUCAUCACUGGACACAACUAAUGAUAGAAUUUAUCUCUUUGGUACAGUACAUAGUCUUAUUGAAUGUCAACCAAAGGGACACAUAACUCCACAGAGAGGUCUACGCAGAAGGAUCAUUUAUCUCCUUAUUUAUUUAAUAUGUGUACAAAAACAUUUAUAGCAAAUAUUAAAAAGGCGGAGAGAGAGAAACAACCGAGGGGCACAAAGGAUGCAAGGGCUUGUCCCCCAAUAUCCCAUUUCCUCUUUGCAAACGAUAGCCUUUUCUUCUGCAAAGCACAAAGAGAGGAAUGUCAAACCAUUCUCAGGAUUCUAAAGGAAUACGAAGUGGUAUCGGGUCAGCAGAUAAAUUUUGAAAAAUCUCCGAUUCAAUUUGGUCACAAGAUUGAAGAACCCAUCAAAUAGAAACUAUGGGAAAUUUUAGGGGUACAUAAUUUAGGCGGUAUGAGAUCUUAUUUGGGAAUUCCUGAGAAUUUGGGAGGAUAAAAAAUACAGGUUUUUGGUUUUGUUCAAGAUCAAUUGAAUAAUAGAGUAAAGGGAUGGAUUUUCAAGUUGUUUACCAAAGGGGAAAGAAAAUGAUUAUAAAAUAUGUGGUAACGGUUUUGCCAAACCAUGUAAUGUCCUGUUUUCGCAUACCAAAAACGGUAAUAAAGAAGCUAACAAGUGCAGUGACACAAUUUUGAUGGAGUCCGGAGGGCAAUACUAGAGGUAUGCACUGGAAAUCAUGGAAUAAACCAUGUAUCCCCAAGGAUGAAUGAGGCUUGGGUUUUAAUGACCUCACAAAUUUAAAUACAACCAUGCUUGAAAAGCAAUUUUUGAGAUUCAUCGACAAACCAAACACACUUUUCUCUCGCGUGUUCAAAUGACGGUAUUUCAGGAAUGCAUCACCCCUAGAACCAAUUAGAUCGUACUCGUCGUCCUACGAUUGGCGCAGUAUUAUCUCUGCUAGAUUUUUUGUUAACAAAUGACUAAUCAAAAGGGUGGGAUCAAGAUCUUCUAUCUCCAUAUGGAAUGAUCCAUGGCUCUCAUCCACUCGCCCGAGACUAGCAAAUAAAAAUCAGCACAAUCUUUACAUGGACCUUACAAUGGAUUCUCUCAUCAAUGUAACAUCAAGGACAUGAAAUUUACAGGUCAUUCAGACUCUGGUGGAUCAUGAAGAUGUUAAAAUAAUUGAAAGUAUACUAUUAAGCCGAAUUCAGACAGCAGAUCGCGAUGGAUGACAUUUUACUAAUAAUGAGAGAUAUAUAGUUAAAUCUGGAUAUCAAAUUGAACGUGUGUACCCAGACAUAAAAAGAAUGUUACCAGAUUUUGGUCCAUCGAUCUCUCCUCCGAAGGCUUUCUGCUGGAAGGUUUGCUUUCAACCUAAGAUGAAACAUUUUUUGUGGCAACUAGUAUCAUGAUGUAUAGAGGUUAAGAAAAAAAAUUAAGAGCAAGAGGAAUACAAGGGGAUACAAUUUGUGCACGAUGUAAAGCACCUGAGAAAUCCAUAAAUCAUGUAUUUUUUGAAUGUCCACGGCGGUUCAAGUUUGGGCACCUCACGAAUUCUUUCGAAUCCAGACAUCUUUCCCACUCAAUCACUUUUUGCGAAUAUGGAUUAUUUAUUUUGGAGAGUUUCUCCGGAAUUGGAAUGCCAUCAAUUUGCAUGGAUCUUAUGGUACAUAUGGAAAUGAAGAAACAACAAAAUUUUUAGUAAUUUAGACAUUGAUCGUAGAGAUACUCUUAAACUAGCAGAAAUUGAGUCUUUACUUUGGGCUGUGGCGCAGAUCUCAAUUACAUGGAGAAUCGAGCAAACUCGAUUACCAGUAGAAGUGAUAGUACCGGAUAUCCCAGGUCGAUGGUGUUUUACGGAUGGAACAUGAAAAAAUCAGAAUGUAUAUUAGGGACAAGGGUGGUAUAUCAUACUGGAAGGUUUUGAUGGUUCAAUAGGAGCGAGGAAUAUGCGAGCGAGUCAGUCGCCACUUCACUUGGAGAUAGAGGCUUUUAUUUGGGCAAUGGAGUGUAUGAAGAAUCUAAGACAGUUUAAUGUUACAUUUGCAACGGAUUGUUCUCAGUUGGUGAAGAUGAUUUCGAAACUAGAAGAAUUGUCAGCCUUUGCAAGUUACUUAAAAGCCAUGUUCGAAACUACGUUAGACGUAACGCGUGCGGUUGGAUAGGGCCUAGCGCCGAAUCAAUUAAUCGGAGAUUAUACAGGGAUUAAUCGGGGCGUAAUUUUAGAUUAUUUAUAUACGUUUUAUGGAUUUAUAUUUUAAAUAUGUAAACUAAGAACAAUAAACUCGCAUGGUUCAGUGGCUAGACUCAUUUAUUGGUACGUACAGGUCAUGGGUUCGAGUAAAUGAAAGCUCUUUUUCUCUAUUUUCUAACGUUUUAGGUUAAAUGAAAGCGAAAUGACGAAAAUAACCCCGUCUCCUAUCUUAAACCUGCGAAUUUUCAGACACAACUAUUUCCAUGUUGUCAGGAGAGUCAGGGAUGGUAAUGUCGUCUCAGAAACUCAGCAGCGGGGUCCCGAGCGGAGCAACGUCUCCGAGAGACACUUACGCAUCGUUGAGGAGGGAGAACAGAGAGUUGAAGCUGGAGAUCUCGAGGGUGAGAGUGAGACUGAGCGAGUUAGAGAAGGAGCAGGUUUUGAUGAAACAAGGGAUGAUUGAGAAGUCAGGUCAUGGUGGAACAUUGAUGACCUCACUUUCCAAAGGGAUUGGGAGGAUGUCUAUAUUUGGUGGUGGAGCUAAAGAAGAGAAACGACGUAAGGCUAACCGCAAAAACAGGCCAAGGUUGAAGGGCAAAACCGGUAUUAACCGAACAG